AGAGUUUGAUCCUGGCUCAGAGCGAACGUUAGCGGCGCGCCUAACACAUGCAAGUCGAACGAGAAAGCGGGGGCAACCUCGUGAGUAAAGUGGCGUACGGGUGAGUAACACGUGGGUAAUCUACCCUUUAGUGGGGAAUAACGCUGGGAAACUGGCGAUAAUACCGCAUAAUCCCGAGAGGGGAAAGCAGCAAUGCGCUGAAGGAGGAGCCCGCGGCCGAUUAGCUAGUUGGUGGGGUAAAGGCCUACCAAGGCAAAGAUCGGUAGCCGGCCUGAGAGGGCACACGGCCACACUGGCACUGAAACACGGGCCAGACUCCUACGGGAGGCAGCAGUGGGGAAUCUUGCACAAUGGGGGAAACCCUGAUGCAGCGACGCCGCGUGAGCGAUGAAGCCCUUCGGGGUGUAAAGCUCUUUCGGCAGGGACGAUAAUGACGGUACCUGCAGAAGCAGCUGCGGCUAACUACGUGCCAGCAGCCGCGGUAAUUC
This 488-nucleotide ribosomal RNA is filed under the name uncultured bacterium. RNAcentral describes it as "bacterial SSU rRNA". It matches the Rfam family "Bacterial small subunit ribosomal RNA", at positions 8 to 526 of the family's 1533-position model. The record is from RNAcentral.